UCAUUAUUUUAUACUUAUGGUUUUGUAAGGACGCCGCUUUGGCGCAACGAUUAUAGCUAUGGAUUGUACCUGUUGCGCUGGCGGUUGCGGGUUCGAUCCCCGCACAUGACAAACAUUUGUCU
Melitaea cinxia (Glanville fritillary) is the source of this 122-nucleotide long non-coding RNA. RefSeq lists it as uncharacterized. Lineage: Eukaryota; Metazoa; Arthropoda; Insecta; Lepidoptera; Nymphalidae. The transcript is spliced from 3 exons. The record is from RefSeq and is a predicted model, not a curated record.